Molecule: ribosomal RNA, 472 nt
Filed under: uncultured bacterium
Lineage: Bacteria
Description: bacterial SSU rRNA
Rfam family: Bacterial small subunit ribosomal RNA
Source: RNAcentral
UGGGGAAUUUUGGACAAUGGGCGCAAGCCUGAUCCAGCCAUGCCGCGUGUGGGAAGAAGGCCUUCGGGUUGUAAACCACUUUUGUCAGGGAAGAAACGGCUCUUACUAAUAUUAGGAGCUAAUGACGGUACCUGAAGAAUAAGCACCGGCUAACUACGUGCCAGCAGCCGCGGUAAUACGUAGGGUGCAAGCGUUAAUCGGAAUUACUGGGCGUAAAGCGUGCGCAGGCGGCUUUGCAAGACAGAUGUGAAAUCCCCGGGCUCAACCUGGGAACUGCAUUUGUGACUGCAAGGCUAGAGUACGGUAGAGGGGGAUGGAAUUCCGCGUGUAGCAGUGAAAUGCGUAGAUAUGCGGAGGAACACCGAUGGCGAAGGCAAUCCCCUGGACCUGUACUGACGCUCAUGCACGAAAGCGUGGCGAGCAAACAGGAUUAGAUACCCCCGUAGUCCCUGAGCGGGCUGGCAAGGCGCAU